This 252-nucleotide ribosomal RNA is filed under the name uncultured bacterium. RNAcentral describes it as "partial 16S ribosomal RNA". It matches the Rfam family "Bacterial small subunit ribosomal RNA", at positions 525 to 776 of the family's 1533-position model. The record is from RNAcentral.
ACGAAGGGUGCAAGCGUUAAUCGGAAUUACUGGGCGUAAAGCGCGCGUAGGUGGUUCGUUAAGUUGGAUGUGAAAGCCCCGGGCUCAACCUGGGAACUGCAUCCAAAACUGCUGAGCUAGAGUACGGUAGAGGGUGGUGGAAUUUCCUGUGUAGCGGUGAAAUGCGUAGAUAUAGGAAGGAACACCAGUGGCGAAGGCGACCACCUGGACUGAUACUGACACUGAGGUGCGAAAGCGUGGGGAGCAAACAGG